Molecule: unclassified non-coding RNA, 158 nt
Filed under: uncultured Pestalotiopsis
Lineage: Eukaryota; Fungi; Ascomycota; Sordariomycetes; Amphisphaeriales; Amphisphaeriaceae
Description: sequence contains ITS2
Source: RNAcentral
CAACCCUUAAGCCUAGCUUAGUAUUGGGAGUCUAGCCGCAAGGUUAGUUCCUCAAAUCCAACGGCGGAUCUGUGGUAUCCUCUGAGCGUAGUAAAUCUUUUUCUCGCUUUUGUUAGGUGCCGCUGCUCUCAGCCGCUAAACCCCCCAAUUUUUUGUGG